Molecule: ribosomal RNA, 253 nt
Filed under: uncultured microorganism
Description: partial 16S ribosomal RNA
Rfam family: Bacterial small subunit ribosomal RNA
Source: RNAcentral
UACGUAGGGUGCGAGCGUUAAUCGGAAUUACUGGGCGUAAAGCGUGCGCAGGCGGUUUUGUAAGACAGGCGUGAAAUCCCCGGGCUCAACCUGGGAAUGGCGCUUGUGACUGCAAGGCUGGAGUGCGGCAGAGGGGGAUGGAAUACCUGGUGUAGCAGUGAAAUGCGUAGAGAUCAGGAGGAACACCGAUGGCGAAGGCAGCCCCCUGGGCCUGUACUGACGCUCAUGCACGAAAGCGUGGGGAGCAAACAGG